UACGGGGGGGGCAAGCGUUGUUCGGAAUUACUGGGCGUAAAGGGCGCGUAGGCGGUUGGAUAAGUCAGCUGUGAAAACCACGGGCUUAACUCGUGGCCUGCAGUUGAGACUGUCUGGCUUGAGUGUGGGAGAGGAGAGUGGAAUUCCUGGUGUAGCGGUGAAAUGCGUAGAUAUCGGGAGGAACAUCUGUGGCGAAGGCGACACCCUGGACCAGCACUGACACUGAGGCACGAAAGCGUGGGGAGCAAACAGG
RNAcentral lists this ribosomal RNA (253 nucleotides) under uncultured bacterium. RNAcentral's name for it is "partial 16S ribosomal RNA". It matches the Rfam family "Bacterial small subunit ribosomal RNA", at positions 524 to 776 of the family's 1533-position model. The record is from RNAcentral.